This 355-nucleotide unclassified non-coding RNA is filed under the name soil metagenome. Its description in RNAcentral is "partial contains 5.8S ribosomal RNA, internal transcribed spacer 2, and large subunit ribosomal RNA". The stretch from base 1 to 120 matches the Rfam family "5.8S ribosomal RNA", at positions 35 to 154 of the family's 154-position model. The record is from RNAcentral.
GAUGAAGAACGAAGCGAAAUGCGAUAAGUAAUGUGAAUUGCAGAAUUCAGUGAAUCAUCGAAUCUUUGAACGCACAUUGCGCCCAUUAGUAUUCUAGUGGGCAUGCCUGUUCGAGCGUCAUUAAGUCCACUUAAGCCCUGCUUAGUGUUGGGAGACUGCUCCAGCGGUGCUACCCUGUAGCUACCCUGCAGCUCCUCAAAGACAGCGGCGGAGUUGUGGUAUCCUCUGAGCUUAGUAACUUGUUCUAGCUUUCGAGUACACCACUUCCCCUGCCGUAAAACCCUUAAUUUUUAAUGGUUGACCUCGGAUCAGGCAGGAAUACCCGCUGAACUUAAGCAUAUCAAUAAGCGGAGGA